RNAcentral lists this ribosomal RNA (253 nucleotides) under uncultured bacterium. RNAcentral describes it as "partial 16S ribosomal RNA". It matches the Rfam family "Bacterial small subunit ribosomal RNA", at positions 524 to 776 of the family's 1533-position model. The record is from RNAcentral.
UACGGAGGGUGCGAGCGUUGUCCGGAAUCAUUGGGCGUAAAGGGCGCGUAGGUGGCGGGACAAGCGUGCGGUGAAAGCCUGGGGCUCAACCCCGGGUCGGCCGUGCGAACUGUUUUGCUUGAGCACUGUAGAGGCAGGCGGAAUUCCGGGUGUAGCGGUGAAAUGCGCAGAUAUCAGGAGGAACACCAAUGGCGAAGGCAGCUCGCUGGGACGUGACUGACGCUGAGACGCGAAAGCGUGGGGAGCAAACAGG